ACCUACGGGGCGCAGCAGUAGGGAAUCUUCCACAAUGGACGAAAGUCUGAUGGAGCAACGCCGCGUGAGUGAAGAAGGGUUUCGGCUCGUAAAGCUCUGUUGGUAGUGAAGAAGGAUAGAGGUAGUAACUGGCCUUUAUUUGACGGUAAUUACUUAGAAAGUCACGGCUAACUACGUGCCAGCAGCCGCGGUAAUAAGUAGGUGGCAAGCGUUGUCCGGGUUUAUUGGGCGUAAAGCGAGUGCAGGCGGGUCCAUAAGUCUGAUGUGAAAGCCUUCGGCUCAACCGG
This 287-nucleotide ribosomal RNA is filed under the name uncultured bacterium. Its description in RNAcentral is "partial 16S ribosomal RNA". It matches the Rfam family "Bacterial small subunit ribosomal RNA", at positions 337 to 616 of the family's 1533-position model. The record is from RNAcentral.